GUCGUUCUCCCCUUUCACCGUUCUCAAGCUUUCACCAUUCUCAAGCUUCCACCGUUCAUCGUUCUCCCUUCGUUCAUUCACCGUUCAGUUCAUCGUUCACCGUUCACAAUUCAUCAUUCGAAACUCGUACAGAAGUGUGAGCCAUCAGUGAUAAUGCCUCUGCCAAAGACUUAGGAAUAGACACAGAGGAGAGAGACCCUUUCUUUCUAUGGGUUUUCCAAUGAACUGGAGCUUGCUCUUAUUCAAUUUGCCGAUGAUAUUAGCUCAUAAGCUCAUGUUCAGGAAACAAUUAGCUCGAAGGCCUUUACUGAAAGGCUGUCCUCAAGGCUCACUGAUGUUGUUAUAUCAGUUAUGAAACCUGGAAUAAACUGGGUUGAAAUGUACAAGUAGGCUUUAUUUAGAUCCCGUCUUUACUUUCUUUUGUGCAUAUAAGAUAGUUUGAGGAGUAAAUUGUGCAACUCAUUUCUCUGGAAUAAACGACUCAUUUCUUUAUUUAGAUCUCGUAUUAUGUCUUGAUCUUGACUUUAUUAGGUAGUCUAAUUACAAGCUCAGGACAUCGAACCAUUUUCUUCUUUGACCACAGUACUGAAGGUUUGAAGGCAUUCAUGGGUUUUACAGGAGAAUUACACCAAGCCUUCUAAAUAAUGUCUCAGCGAUCUCAAUCACGUUUAUUGUGUAUGAAAACGUCUUAAACUUGAUCAAACUAACAAGACAAAAGGAAUAAAACCCGUGGAUUGAACUACAUUGUUAUUUCAUCAUUGCAGAAGCUGGAGGUAAAAUGCAGAACAUUUGUUAACCAAGUCACUUAUUUCGGACUAAAAAAAAGGUUGCGAGAACCGGUGACUAAGAGCUUUUUCGUCGCGACUUGGAGCUUUUUCAAACUGUUAUUGGGAAGUUUUUGGAUAGUUUUUAGAUAAGUUAGUUAAUUUAGGAAGUUGAGUUGAACUAGGAUGUUGAGUUGAACUUAUGACAAUCUAAUGAGAUUGUUUAUAUUAUUUUUGCAAAUGAUAUGAAAUAUUCAUAUAUGUAUUGUUUUGAAAA
Long non-coding RNA from Cucumis sativus (cucumber), 1041 nucleotides. RefSeq lists it as uncharacterized. The transcript has 6 exons. Lineage: Eukaryota; Viridiplantae; Streptophyta; Magnoliopsida; Cucurbitales; Cucurbitaceae. The record is from RefSeq and is a predicted model, not a curated record.